GAUGAACGCUGGCGGCGUGCCUAAUACAUGCAAGUCGAGCGAACAGACGAGGAGCUUGCUCCUCUGACGUUAGCGGCGGACGGGUGAGUAACACGUGGAUAACCUACCUAUAAGACUGGGAUAACUUCGGGAAACCGGAGCUAAUACCGGAUAAUAUAUUGAACAGCAUGGGUCAAUAGUGAAAGACGGUUUUGCUGUCACUUAUAGAUGGAUCCGCGCCGCAUUAGCUAGUUGGUAAGGUAACGGCUUACCAAGGCAACGAUGCGUAGCCGACCUGAGAGGGUGAUCGGCCACACUGGAACUGAGACACGGUCCAGACUCCUACGGGAGGCAGCAGUAGGGAAUCUUCCGCAAUGGGCGAAAGCUUGACGGAGCAACGCCGCGUGAGUGAUGAAGGUCUUCGGAUCGUAAAACUCUGUUAUUAGGGAAGAACAAAUGUGUAAGUAACUAUGCACGUCUUGACGGUACCUAAUCAGAAAGCCACGGCUAACUACGUG
RNAcentral lists this ribosomal RNA (497 nucleotides) under uncultured bacterium. RNAcentral's name for it is "partial 16S ribosomal RNA". It matches the Rfam family "Bacterial small subunit ribosomal RNA", at positions 28 to 507 of the family's 1533-position model. The record is from RNAcentral.